This is a long non-coding RNA of Magallana angulata, 479 nucleotides long. RefSeq lists it as uncharacterized. The record is from RefSeq and is a predicted model, not a curated record. The transcript is spliced from 4 exons. NCBI's taxonomy places the organism in Eukaryota, Metazoa, Mollusca, Bivalvia, Ostreida, Ostreidae.
CUAUUCAAUGAUUUUGCUCAACAUAAUAUAUUGAAUUGACGAUUUCUUUCAGCAAUGUCAUUGGGGUAGAGGGCACGCUGCAGUCAGCACAGAGGCUCUUACCUCCGUGUUUGCAGAGAAGUUAGCGGAAAACACGGAGGCUCGAGGAACCAAGAGAAACGGUUCUGUCGUGAAUCGGAUAAUUGACUACCUCAGGUCAAUAGAUAAGAAGAUUGACUGUUUGUCGACAGAAGUAAAAAAAACUCAGGGAGGAGAUUUCCUCAAGCAAAGACUGUAGAAGGAAGGAAGACCUCCAAGAAUCAGAACAGCAGUUCAUGAUGCAUACAAGCAUGCUAUAGAGGAUGGUUCUGAAGAAUGGGUGACCAAAAUGGCAGACAAAAAUUUGAAGGUCUCAUCUGAUGAAAAUAAGGAGAUAACUGAAGCGUUAAGGCGCUUUGUGAAGGGACUUUACCCUGAGGUUCAGGAUGGUGUAAUCCAAG